Molecule: long non-coding RNA, 1643 nt
Organism: Gallus gallus (chicken)
Lineage: Eukaryota; Metazoa; Chordata; Aves; Galliformes; Phasianidae
Source: Ensembl
AAAGGCCAGAGAAAGAGCUUUGUAUCAGAAGAUCAGAAUCUGAGUUUAACGUUGUAAUAUCUCUCAGUAGGAGACAGAAGUCAGCAGCACUGUUCCUGUGGAAAAAGAGAGGAAAAGGGCCUCAGAUUCUGGAUUCCAAAAAACUGCACUGGAGAAGCUUGUUUUGGAAAGCUGAAAAUAUUAUUGUACACACUGCUUCGGAGGCCCAUGGUGUACCAUAUAUACAAGAGAAGGUGCUACAGGGUUAUUGCAAAGGAAAGAGACAUGAUGUAAGUGACCACUGGAGAUGGCUGGAGAGAGUUAAUGAAUGUUCUGAAGUGGAGGAUCAAGAUUAAGACAUUUUGGGAGACAUUGUCCUGCUUGGUCACUAAGAACUUGCAGCUGAUUUGAAGACUCUGGACUUUCCCAGAAGACACACUGGUCUACAGGGCAGCUACAGCUUUUGAUCUUACUCUCUUCAAAAAGAUAAGGCUGCACUCCAAAGACAGGCCUCCUCCUUUGCUAAAAGCUCUCUUUGUGUGCUCAAAUUGAAGAAUGAGAAUGUACAAGAUGGAAGAUCAGCAUGGAGGACAUCUUUUGCAGCGCUGAAUCAGAGGUGGGAGAUGUACUCUACCCGAGAAAAGUUUCUCUCAUGGAGGACAGAAGUGUUGGUGAAUGUAGGGUGUGUUUGAGAUUUUAAAGGGGAGAUGGGCUAUCUGUUGCUGUGUGUAAAACUGGAGGAAGAAAAUAUGUCCCAGCUCAGACUAUGCUCAAUAGAGGGAGAGACCAGUUCCCAGUUCCCAGCUAGGUCCAGCCUAUUAUUUCCAUUUAUUAAUUAGGUGAAUAAUAUCCUAUUAUUAGGUCCAGCAGAAUUAUUUAGGCUGGCACCCAGUGCAGGAUAUUAGAGAGCAGUUAAAUCCUCUCAGAGAGCUUCGGUAAAAGGCAAUCUAUAAAAACAAAUCUUACAUUUGGUCAUCAUUAAUACGCUGGAAAAUAAAUGAAGGUAUAACUAUGCUCUGCAAUUUUUAUUUCAUUUAUGAAGACUGUGCCACAUGGCAUACAUGCUCUGUCUGUGCUGUUAAGCACAUGAUGUGAGAAAUGGUGGUGUGAGGACUUAGAAUGGAAGAAGAAAGACAUAGUCCAUGCUGAAGCAAAGCAGAAAAUAUUUUAGCUUUAUUUUAUGAAUUCAUAGAUUUCUUAGAGGUCUGCAUGGAGCUUUCAUAGAGGUUGAUUUAGAGAUCAGGCCUAGUGACAAGUCCCAGGUUAAUUCUGUAGCAGCUGCCAAAUCCCUCAGUAAGGCACACUGUACAACAAUGGCUACUCUAGUCUCUAAAGAAAUAUUUUAGUAAUGUUUCUGGAGUGGCUAGUGUAGUGUACAGUGAAAAUGCCUGUGCCUCUGCCAGUAUGGAGCCAAACAAGACUUACCUAAGCCUGGGUUACCCUAGAACUGAUCUUCUUACCAAACUCCCAAAUAAAAUGCAAAAUAUUACAAAUUCCUCUUUCCUUACUUUUUAAAAAUUCAAUGAAAUUUUUAGAAGAGAGGGGAAAAUUAUAAGUGAAGGGAAAAUGUUGCAUGAUUCCUUAGCUAGACACCUGGAAAUCAGUCAGCCCUUGAGACAAUCUUGGAAUAGAUAUGUGAUUCCUUGAUCUUCUUUAUCAACAAG